Molecule: ribosomal RNA, 962 nt
Filed under: Curtobacterium sp.
Lineage: Bacteria; Bacillati; Actinomycetota; Actinomycetes; Micrococcales; Microbacteriaceae
Description: bacterial SSU rRNA
Rfam family: Bacterial small subunit ribosomal RNA
Source: RNAcentral
GACGGUACCUGCAGAAAAAGCACCGGCUAACUACGUGCCAGCAGCCGCGGUAAUACGUAGGGUGCAAGCGUUGUCCGGAAUUAUUGGGCGUAAAGAGCUCGUAGGCGGUUUGUCGCGUCUGCUGUGAAAUCCCGAGGCUCAACCUCGGGCUUGCAGUGGGUACGGGCAGACUAGAGUGCGGUAGGGGAGAUUGGAAUUCCUGGUGUAGCGGUGGAAUGCGCAGAUAUCAGGAGGAACACCGAUGGCGAAGGCAGAUCUCUGGGCCGUAACUGACGCUGAGGAGCGAAAGCAUGGGGAGCGAACAGGAUUAGAUACCCUGGUAGUCCAUGCCGUAAACGUUGGGCGCUAGAUGUAGGGACCUUUCCACGGUUUCUGUGUCGUAGCUAACGCAUUAAGCGCCCCGCCUGGGGAGUACGGCCGCAAGGCUAAAACUCAAAGGAAUUGACGGGGGCCCGCACAAGCGGCGGAGCAUGCGGAUUAAUUCGAUGCAACGCGAAGAACCUUACCAAGGCUUGACAUACACCGGAAACGGCCAGAGAUGGUCGCCCCCUUGUGGUCGGUGUACAGGUGGUGCAUGGUUGUCGUCAGCUCGUGUCGUGAGAUGUUGGGUUAAGUCCCGCAACGAGCGCAACCCUCGUUCUAUGUUGCCAGCGCGUUAUGGCGGGGACUCAUAGGAGACUGCCGGGGUCAACUCGGAGGAAGGUGGGGAUGACGUCAAAUCAUCAUGCCCCUUAUGUCUUGGGCUUCACGCAUGCUACAAUGGCCGGUACAAAGGGCUGCGAUACCGUAAGGUGGAGCGAAUCCCAAAAAGCCGGUCUCAGUUCGGAUUGAGGUCUGCAACUCGACCUCAUGAAGUCGGAGUCGCUAGUAAUCGCAGAUCAGCAACGCUGCGGUGAAUACGUUCCCGGGCCUUGUACACACCGCCCGUCAAGUCAUGAAAGUCGGUAACACCCGAAGCCGGU